GCCGGUUCUCCAGAAUUGGUCAGAACCUGCUGAAUACUACCUCUGAUCUAAAUGGCUUUAGGUAGUCAGCUAUUUUUCCCAGCACUGUUGAAGAAACAGAUGUCAAUGAUUAUUAAUGGACUCUUACAAAGUUAAAAAUAUUGGCAUGUUCUUGCUCUUAAAAACCAUUUCGUGAGCAAGUGCAUUAGUUUUUGAUAUGCACUCUCCUUAUUGAGAGGGCCACCUUGGCUUCAGGAAACCAAACAUCAUUGGAAUGUAUAAUUCCAUUUGCCUUUGACCUUUGCUAGUGUCCUUACCUUGUUCUCACUUUCCUAAUUUUGUGUUGGGAAGUGUAUACCCUCAUUGUAGAUCUGCAACUGAUAAAUGUGUUUAAUAAAACGUUGAUUUGUUAUUUUCAGAAUGGCUCUCUGAUUCUUUGUAACAAUAGAAAUGAUAAGGAAGUGGAGCAGAGGGCACUGAUAAUAUAUUGCCUCCUGACUCACAGGCAAAAUACUUUAAAAGCAACCCUGAAGGAGAAGUAGUUAAUGAGGUUAUUGUCCUUAUAGACGGCUUAUAAUUUUUCUGGAUGCAUCAGAUUAGCCGCUGGGCUUAAUGGCCAUUCGCUUUGAUUCAACAAAACUGCCUUUAUUUCCUUAAGCUAUGAUGUCUUGGAUAAACACAAACAUAAAUAUGAGUAAUCUUCAAUAAUGGCCACGAGUUGUACAGAUCAUAAAGCAGGUCACCAUGUGACCAUACCUAAUUUUAUGAUCUUUUUGAAGUAGUCAUUAAGCAAGUCCAUUGUAUCAAUUGGAUUUUUUCUGCUGGAAGCCAAAAGUUAAGUGUAUAUUUCUGGCCAAAAAAAACAAACAAAAAAGGUGUAAAUUUUGAUCAUUUGACUACAGGAUGCUGCAAAUGGCCAUAAAUGCAGGCCGGUUGCCAAAUGCCCAAAUGUGACCAUGUGACCACUGAAGAUGGCAGCCAUUGUUAACUUUGAAACCAGGUUGUAAGUAGUUCUGGGGAGGUGAUGUAACUUUGAAUGGUUGCUAAGCAACUGGUUGAAAGUUGAGAACUACCUGUACCUCAAAGCAGAAGAUUCAUCGUAAAGGAGGGCUUAAUUUUCAAAUCCUACGGGGUAUUUAACACUAGGUUUUUAUUUCAGUUCAUCAGCAACUUGGAGCACCAAACCAGUUUCAUCUCAGUAUAUGAGAACUGGAACCCAAAUGCCAUUCUCCAUCAUCAUUCUCAUUUAUCAGCCCAAAUCAGCCAUCUUCCUUUUCAACUGUUUCCCAAUUGCUUUUAUGUACUGCAGAUCCAUUUCCACUUAACACCUUUGAACUGAUUACAUCAUCUGCCCACCAUUUCUUGAGGUGUUUUCUAGGUCUUUUAAGGUCAAUUGGUAUCAAACCAAGGAUUAUUGCUGCCCAAUAUGGAACUGUUCAUUGUGCAAUACACAG
Notechis scutatus (mainland tiger snake) is the source of this 1433-nucleotide non-coding RNA. The record is from RefSeq and is a predicted model, not a curated record. NCBI's taxonomy places the organism in Eukaryota, Metazoa, Chordata, Lepidosauria, Squamata, Elapidae.